GAGCCACGAGGGCCAGCCUCCACUCAUGAGGUUCUAGUUGUCACGAGGAUGACUGGACCUAAGGAUGUAUACGUAUGUAUGUGCUAUUAUGGAUUUAUGGAUACUAUGUUGGUUAUGAAUGUGUUGUUAGAAGUUAAAGCAUGUUAGGUUGAUUGCAUGUGUCAAAGUUUAUAUGUUAUGAUGAUGGUUGUAUAGCUUUAGAAAGUGUUCUAUGUUUCAGUGGGCAGAGUUGAUUCCCCUCACUGAGUAUUCUUUACUCACCCCCUUUUUCUCCUUUUUCCUCAAGUUAGUAAAAGUGAGGAGUUGUGUGCAAUAUUUUGUUCGUGUGUGAAGUUAAAGAAAACGUUUUUGGCAAGAUCAGAUGAAUAACAUGUCGUCUUGGCCUAUAUGGCGGGA
This 396-nucleotide small RNA is filed under the name Arabidopsis thaliana (thale cress). RNAcentral's name for it is "ATSL041820". Lineage: Eukaryota; Viridiplantae; Streptophyta; Magnoliopsida; Brassicales; Brassicaceae. The record is from RNAcentral.